CGUCCGCCCGUACCCGCCCGAAAUCUCUGCUUCCCUUCCGUUCCUAACCCGGACGCCCCCCGCGGGGGAGGCUCCGGUGAUGGCGGCUCCGAGGGCUGGCGAGAGGCGACGUCCCUCUCCUUCGCGACGCUCCUCCCCCACGACGCCGCCUCCCCCUCGCGCCCCAGGACGCCGGCGCCCCCAUCGACUCCGCCCGCAGAUCGACGGGUGCUGCGGAUGCCGCCUCGCCGCCUAUCCUCGCCCUCCCCAUCUCCCGCCGGCCUCCCUCUCCAUUCGCUCGAUCCACCACAAGAUGGCGAGGGCGCGCCGCAGACUCCCCACGGGCGUGACGCCCGACGCCGCGGCGGCCGCCCUCCCUGCCGCGGAUCCCCCAUGCUCCGUGGAUCUGCACCAUCGCCACUCCCGGUCUCCCCUUCGCUCGAGCUCCGGCUUCCUCCAGCCUCCCCCAACCGCGCCACCAGCAGGAGGAGGGCAGUCAGCUCGAGGGCAGUCAACAGGCUCCAAGCGCUCCGACCUCCAAGAUCCGCGCACCUCCGGCCUCCCCUUCGCUCGAGCUCCGGCUGCCUCCAGCCUCCCCCAACCGCGCCACCAACGCGGGUCCAUGCCUCCCCGCUCCGGCGUCCCCGACGUGCCUCCCCGCCGACGUCCUCGCGGGCCCUCACAGCCGCCAGGCUCCUCGGCUCUCUGCCGCGCUCGCCAACGCCUCCUCCAACUCCAACGAGCCAGUGCCCUCGAAGUGGACGGCAACACCCCCAAUCCGGCGCAUCCACGAUGAUCCGCUCCGAUCCGUGGCCCCCGCUGUCAGCCCCGAAUUCGGCGUCGCCCCUGGACCGGCAUGCCACGGAACUCGCCCCAUCGUCGGCCUCCCGCUACCGUGUCAAAUCUCUGAUUAGUCCCUCUUGCUCACGAUGUGUUCGGUGAAUUAGCUAUUAGGCAAUCCGGCACUCAGGUUCAGCAGGAGGAGGGCAGUCAGCUCGAGGCGUGGAGCCGUGGACAGCCGGGAGGAGGAGCUUGGGUGGUGGGCUAUUAGCAGGGAGAAUUGAGGGGAUGGAGGUUGCAUUGUGGGGAAGUAGACGGGCUGCCACCGCUCGGUGCAUGGAGGCAAUGACGGGCGCAGCCGGCUUUGUAUGGCGAGUAUCUUGCUACAUCAAAGCUCUAUGGCGAGGUAUGUGGCCAUCGCCCCUGCCUCCACCAAGCCGUCACCAUUGCCCCCUGUACCAUGAACCUGGUACGUGGCUGUCAGCUCCGCUGGGGCGAAUGCCCGUGCAUUCAACUAAAGCCUGAACUGCUCGUCCGUUAAAACCGCUCGCAGAGAGGGCGAGCGGAUUCGAGGUACCAACCUGCAGCAAGCACUAGGAAAGUAACAACUAUUCUGACAUUUGCCAUCGAGCUCUGCUGGUCGUGCAGUUCUUUUUUUCAAAGGGACAUGCUCUUUUGCAUAAGAAAUAUGGAAUAUUGGAGAAGAAGAAAUAAGUUAGCAGGAGAGUGACAGAUUGCUGCAACUACGGAGCUCAUGAGGUGACCAUCAAUCAGCAUUUGUAUUUUCCUUUGACCUACUAAUUUAGUAUCAGGUAAACACAUACCUUUGAUAUAACACAUCUUACUUACAUGCGCCUGGAGCCCUGGACACAUGUUUUUUUUUUCAUUUGCAAAGAAAUUAUGGAAAUGUGUGCUCUUUUCCCUUCUCCCUUCCAUUCUCUGCAUGUACACUUAUGCUCUCUUUCUUUUUAUUUUGUUUCUCAACAGAUACUGAAAAUUCUCAUAUUAGGUUGAGAUCUAAACUAGGCUCAAGGUUAGCAUUUUAAGUUUCUUAAUAUGCAACUUCUAGCAUGUAACCUCUAUUAAAUUGGAGGGCAUAUUGGGGCUGCUUUUUUUUUUUCUAGCUGUGAUCCCUGCUGCCCGACUGAAUGGUUUAUUACAUAUCCCUCCUUUUUUUUCUAGCUAUGAACUACAUAUCCCUGCUUUUGUUUCCCUGACUUGGAAAGGGCUUGUAAGGACCACUUUAGGAGGACUUGUUGGGGCAUAGGGUUGGAUUUCGGUUUCAGGGUGGUGACCUUGGACCCUAAUUUCACAAAGCUUAACAUAGAUUCAAUUGUUUAUGCUUAUGAAAUUUCGGAGAGAAGGGCUAUUUUGCUUGACUAUGAUGGAACUUUGGUUCCUUAGACUUACAUCAAUAAGCCAUCUAGCCCAGAAGUUGUGAGUAUUAUCAAUACUCUUUGCUCAGAUAGGAGAAAUAUUGUUUUUCUUGUCAGUGGGGUGAGACAAGGAUACAUUGGGAGAAUGGUUUGCCUCAUGUCCAAAGUUGGGAAUUGCAGCUGAACUUGGUUACUUCUUAAGGUAUGUUCUUUUCCAUUUUUCACAAUUGAUACUUGUUUGUGAAGUACUGGAAGCUGGAUACUAUACUUUUUCUAUAAAUGGCAAGAGCAUUGCUGCUGUGUGGAGGGGUGUCUCAGCGCUACUUUUCUCUAAAUGUUUUUGUCUCUCUUUUGCUGUAUGUGAUUUUGACGGCAUUUUAUUUCCUUGAGCACUCGUCAAGGUUCUUGUGGUGCAUGAGAAGUAUUCUGCUUCAACGCCGCUUGGUGCUUGGAAACUCCCAACGGGAUUCAUCCAUGUGUUAAGGAGUCAGACAAUUAGACGGGUGCAUGGUAUGAUAUUAGUUCUAAUUGCGAUGUCCGUUAUUGAAGAAUGUUUGGUUGCUUUGUGGCAGUCAGAGGAGAUUUUACAGGAGCUGUCAAAGAGGUCAAGGAGGAGACUGGAGUAAGAAAUGGAUUGUCCUGUUAAUGUUAGACUAAAAGAUUGUUCUGAUAUUUGUUCUUCAGUUAACCGGCUUGCAUUUUUUAUGGGAUUAAUCAUGAAUAUGGUUCCCUCAAUGCAUUUGCAGAUUGACACUGAGUUUAUGGAACUGAUUGCUUUCAGGUAAUGGUUCUACUCAUGCUCUCUGUAUGAGUCAGCUUAGAUGUGUCAAAUAAUAGGAUUUGGUUAUGCACUUGCGCUGCUCAGGUGGGAUGUGCACCUGCUCAUUAUCUGUAUGCAUGAUGUAGUCUGCUACAUCACUUUUUACAUCAAUGGUUCUGUUAGAGAAUCUGAAAAUUUUAUAUCAAUGAUUCUGUUAGAGAACAUGAUAACUGAAUGGCAUUUAUAGAUGAGCUGUUAUUAGCAUCUGUUUUUUAGCACAUAAACAGCUACACCAAGCCUAUCUGAAAAAAAGAGCUGUUAAAACUACCAAAUUUUUUUGUUAUAGGAACAUGUUUCUAGCAGAAUGAUGCUUACAGUACAGCUUCUAUAUUUUUUUUUACUAAUUCAGUGCAAUGCACUUUGCUCCCCUGCUAGAUUGUGACCUUUUUAGACAUGCAUGUCUUCCAGUAAGCAAACUAAUAUAAAGUGAUAACUGAAUAUUGGAUUGGUAGUAUGCCUAAAUUGAUUUUUGUUUGCCCUCAAAUCUAAUUCCGUGAGAAUGUUCAGCUGGCCCCGAAUGUAAAUAUUCGGCUAUUUUCCUGAAAAAUAAAACUAAAUUAAUCAUAAGCCAUCUGAUGUUGCCUCCAGCCUCAGCAUGAGUCGUAAAACUAAUUAAUCAUAAGCCAUUUGUGAAUAUGUUAUGGUAUUUUGGUGGCUUGCUUAAACAUAAGAGGUAAUACGACAAUUGAUGGAGAGAUAUAGGGAGCAGAAGAAGGACUUGUACAUGGUCUUCAUUGACCUUGAGAAGGCAUAUGACAAAGUACCGAGAAAUGUCAUGUGGUGGGCCUUGGAGAAGCACAAAGUCCCAACUAAGUACAUUACCCUCAUUAAGGAUAUGUACAAGGAUGCGACGACGUUUGUCCGGACAUGUGAUGGCAACACCACUGACUUUCCUAUUAACAUAGGCCUACACCAGGGGUCAGCAUUGAGCCCUUAUUUAUUUGCUUUAGUGAUGGAUGAGGUCACAAGGGAUAUACAAGGUGAGAUCCCUUGGUGUAUGCUCUUUGCUGAUGAUGUGGUGCUAGUUGACGAGAGUAGGGCAGGGGUUAAUAGGAAGUUAGAGCUGUGGAGACGCACGUUAGAGUCGAAAGGGUUCAGACUUAGUAGGACCAAGACCGAGUACAUGAUGUGCGAUUUCAGCGCGACUAGGCAUGAGGGGGGAGACGUUAGUCUAGAUGGGCAAGUGGUGGUCCAGAAGGAUACUUUUCGGUAUUUAGGAUCGGUGCUACAAAAGGAUGGCGACAUUGAUGAAGAUGUUAGGCAUAGAAUUUCAGCUGGCUGGUUGAAAUGGCGGCAAGCUUCUGGCAUCCUUUGUGACAAGAGGGUGCCACAAAAGCUAAAAGGCAAAUUCUAUAGGACAACAAUUCGUCCGGCGAUGUUAUACGGUGCUGAAUGUUGGCCUACAAAAAGGCGACAUGUCCAGCAACUGAGUGUAGCAGAGAUGCGGAUGUUGCGGUGGUUUUGCGGGCACACAAGGAGGGAUAGAGUCCGGAAUGAAGUUAUUCGGGAUGCCGGUACGUAAUGGGGUUCUUGAGCGGGUCGAUAAUGUAAAGAGGGGUAGAGGUAGACCUAAACUGACGUGGGAUGAGUCGGUUAAGAGAGACCUUAAGGAUUGGAAUAUCUCUAAAGAGAUAGCUUUGGAUAGGAGCGCUUGGAGACUAGCUAUCAAUUUGCCUGAACCUUGAGCUUAUUUCUUUCGGGUUUCAUCUCUAGCCUAUCCCAACUUGCUUGGGAAAAAAUGCUAUGUUGUUGUUGUUGUUGUUGCUGCUGCUUAAACAUAAGAGGAAUAGUGAGUUUGAUUGCUUAUAACUUGGUGUCAUGAGUCGUGCCUGCACAGAGUUGGGUAAUAAUUUAAUAUGAUGCCAAUCUUUAAAAAAAAUUUAAUAUGAUGCAGCUUCUUUUAUUUCUUCCAAUAAUAGAAAUGCAUGACUUCAUGUGUACAUACACAAGGUGCCGAGUAGAUUAGCUGACCUAAGACUUGGUACUAUGCACAGAACUGGCUAACUUUGAUUGCCUAAUGAUUGAUAUGAUAAUCUUUGUUUGGAUAAAUAUAAUUUGCUAAUUUAUUUGGCAACAAUUUGUUUUGGAUCACAUAACAUGGAAAGCGUUAGAUGCUUUCAUGCGGGGAUCCUACAACCAAUAAUAUAAUGUUGAGGGUUUUGCUAGAUCUCACCAUGUGCUGAAGAAUAGUAGUUAAAGAGAUUCUGACCUUUCUUAUUUACAAAGAAUGGUGCUCCUUUUGCAGUACUUUGGAGACGAGAAGAACUCAGCUAAGAGAGUGGGAGAUUGCUUCAGAAUCAUUAGAGCACUUAUUUUUCUUUACAUCGAUUUCAUUUGGGCUUCAAGUCUUAUUUGCAUCUUGGUUUCUACUUAGUACUAAGGAUGUGUUUAUUUAUUCAUUUUUGUUUCUUUAGCUCCUAUGUUUCUGACUCUUUAGCCUGUUUCUGCUGUGCUAUCUAUACUCUGAUGUCUAUCUGACUAGCUUGACAUUAAGAAAUACCAAUGGAACAGGUAACAUGAUGGAACUUUAGUGGAGUGGAAGUUUAAUUAAUUUAAGCUAUUUGGGCUAUUUGCAGCACUGUAGGGCUAGGCUCUUUGCUUUACCUGGUCUGACACUUCAAAUCGAGAGGCACUAUCAAUCAGCAUUAUUCCUACACAGCUUUAAUACUUUAAUGGUAUUUCGGUGGGUUUUUGGGUGAUUCUAUUUGCUCGGCUAUGGGUUCGCAGGGUUUGGAGGCGCAGGGCGAUCCGGCGGUGAUGGGGCCUGCUCAAGCUGCCCGCCAACAAGUGCUGCAUCAACGGCAACAACUUGGUGAGUCCCCUCGCCCGAAUUCUCGAGCGUGGAUGGGUUUUGGGAGAUGGGAAGCUAGAAGGUGGGUUUGCUUGUUUGAGCUCGCUCGGCUUGCCUUGGAUGCACCCACCGUAAUGCCUCGUUGCUUGCUUUUAGCUGGAACCGUGUAAGUUUAAGUUCAGCGAGUUUGGAAGUGGCUUGAGAUUGAGAAGGCAACGGGUCUGGCCGAGCUUGGCGGUGGCGCACCUCAUGAUCGUGAAGGACAUAAUGGGAUUCAUGAAGGACGAUCUCAGUAGUAGCCUUUUUUUUAUUUGGUAUGCUACUAACAUAAUGAGAUUUGUGAAGGAGCAUUAGCAUGUUCGAAUUUUGCUUGCAGUCAUUUACAAAAGAAAUUGAAUUCUGGAAUUAUCAUGUGCAGUUUUAAACUUGAAAUAAUUAACACUGUAACUUUAAUAAUGGUAUUCUUUGAAUACCUAUAUGCUGGUACUAUAUUUUCAGAUACAGGUUGCAAAUAGACUUGGCAUCAAUUACGCUCCUGCCAUGGUUGGAUUUGAUUGAAGUGGCCGAUGCCUUACAGUUUUUUUUUUUUAAAUUGAUGUCAAUACUGAUCUAUCCUAGAGGUAUGUCGUGGCAUGACAAUUAUUUUUUUUGAAAGUUUGAAUCAUUUCAGAAGUGUAUGUAAUUUGUUCACCUCAUAGUGGCUCUGCUCUUUAAAAUACUGACCAACAUUAUUACUGCUUUUGCUCUUCAGAUACUUUAAAUCUAACAGAACUAAGGUCCCCAUGUUAGGGCAACAAUGUGCCACCUAGCUGAUUUGCGGGCUAUAAAAAACAAAUGUGAGAGUGAACUCAUCAGAUUACUAUAGCAUUUGAUUAAAAAAAUCGCUCCAAUCCCCUAUAGUGCCGAUUGCCAAGUGGGGGUAUUUGACGUGUAUGCUUGCCUGUGUUUUUGAAAAUUCUGAACAAGAUGGAUAUCAUAACACUAGCUGCCCAUAAUUGCAAUUAUUUAUUUACUCAUACAUUAUUAAUUCAUUUCAGAGGGAUGUUGCAGGGAAAACAUAAGCACAUUAUGGAAAAAGAAAAGGACUAUCGUACAAGGACAAAGUGGCUUAUCUCAAUAGUUGUGCCCAGUGUUAUGUUUUUGUUAUUGAAAACAAGUUUCCUAUAUGUGAUGAUAAAUUAUUGUCUACUAAACAAAACUAUUUUUUAAUACUUUUUAAAAAUACAUUAUUGAUUGCGAUUCUUUUUCUGGUUCAUUUGCAGCUCUCUGAGUGGAUAAAAACAAGCUCCUCAGAAUUGGAAAAUGUGAUCAAGACCAUGACAACUUGGUACCAUACAGAUCGAUGAUGAACUAUAACAUGCUGCGCCCAUGGUGUUCGGCGAAGCAAAACAGAUGGCAGGCUGGGCAAUGUCAAUGGCACGAAGCUCAAAUGGCCCCUGACACUCAAUUUAGUCACACAUGAAGCUGCCAUAUCAGUUUUUUUUGUGUGUGUUGAGCUAGCAUUCCGGUACUUCAAAAAAGGACCUGUAAUUCGUUCCACAUGAUGCUAUUCUUCAUCUAGAUUGCUCUAUAUAGAGAACAAUGGAACUAGAUGCUUAUUCUGUGAAGAUCUUUAUUGUUAUUGCAUGUCUGUUAAUACGUGCGUGCUGCACGUGCACUC
This is a long non-coding RNA of Panicum virgatum (switchgrass), 7406 nucleotides long. RefSeq lists it as uncharacterized. The record is from RefSeq and is a predicted model, not a curated record. NCBI's taxonomy places the organism in Eukaryota, Viridiplantae, Streptophyta, Magnoliopsida, Poales, Poaceae. The transcript has 4 exons.